GACGAACGCUGGCGGCGUGCCUAAUACAUGCAAGUAGAACGCUGAAGAGAGGAGCUUGCUCUUCUUGGAUGAGUUGCGAACGGGUGAGUAACGCGUAGGUAACCUGCCUUGUAGCGGGGGAUAACUAUUGGAAACGAUAGCUGAUACCGCAUAACAAUGGAUGACACAUGUCAUUUAUUUGAAAGGGGCAAUUGCUCCACUACAAGAUGGACCUGCGUUGUAUUAGCUAGUAGGUGAGGUAACGGCUCACCUAGGCGACGAUACAUAGCCGACCUGAGAGGGUGAUCGGCCACACUGGGACUGAGACACGGCCCAGACUCCUACGGGAGGCAGCAGUAGGGAAUCUUCGGCAAUGGGGGCAACCCUGACCGAGCAACGCCGCGUGAGUGAAGAAGGUUUUCGGAUCGUAAAGCUCUGUUGUAAGUCAAGAACGAGUGUGAGAGUUGGAAAGUUCACACA
Molecule: ribosomal RNA, 459 nt
Filed under: Streptococcus sp. oral taxon C65
Lineage: Bacteria; Bacillati; Bacillota; Bacilli; Lactobacillales; Streptococcaceae
Description: bacterial SSU rRNA
Rfam family: Bacterial small subunit ribosomal RNA
Source: RNAcentral